AGGGGGAAGGUGACCUAAAAGAAGCUGCUAACUAUCUUUUAAAGCGGUUUAAUUCCGUUUUCCCCUUU
This 68-nucleotide transfer RNA is filed under the name Sclomina pallens. RNAcentral's name for it is "tRNA-Ser". The record is from RNAcentral. Lineage: Eukaryota; Metazoa; Arthropoda; Insecta; Hemiptera; Reduviidae.